This 76-nucleotide transfer RNA is filed under the name Porticoccus sp. Its description in RNAcentral is "tRNA-Val". It matches the Rfam family "tRNA". From Rfam's summary of the family: Transfer RNA (tRNA) molecules are approximately 80 nucleotides in length. Their secondary structure includes four short double-helical elements and three loops (D, anti-codon, and T loops). Further hydrogen bonds mediate the characteristic L-shaped molecular structure. tRNAs have two regions of fundamental functional importance: the anti-codon, which is responsible for specific mRNA codon recognition, and the 3' end, to which the tRNAs corresponding amino acid is attached (by aminoacyl-tRNA synthetases). tRNAs cope with the degeneracy of the genetic code in two manners: having more than one tRNA (with a specific anti-codon) for a particular amino acid; and 'wobble' base-pairing, i.e. permitting non-standard base-pairing at the 3rd anti-codon position. The record is from RNAcentral. RNAcentral also lists the same sequence under 2 other names. Lineage: Bacteria; Pseudomonadati; Pseudomonadota; Gammaproteobacteria; Cellvibrionales; Porticoccaceae.
GGGUGGUUAGCUCAGUUGGUAGAGCGACGGCCUUACAAGCCGUAGGUCACAGGUUCGACCCCUGUACCACCCACCA